Molecule: ribosomal RNA, 477 nt
Filed under: Candidatus Scalindua brodae
Lineage: Bacteria; Pseudomonadati; Planctomycetota; Candidatus Brocadiia; Candidatus Brocadiales; Candidatus Scalinduaceae
Description: bacterial SSU rRNA
Rfam family: Bacterial small subunit ribosomal RNA
Source: RNAcentral
UUCGCAAUGCCCGAAAGGGUGACGAAGCGACGCCGCGUGGGUGAGGAAGGCCUUCGGGUUGUAAAGCCCUGUCAGGAGUUAAGAAAUGUAGAUUCGCUAAUAUCGGGUCUAUUUGACAAAGGCUCCAAAGGAAGCCACGGCUAACUCUGUGCCAGCAGCCGCGGUAAUACAGAGGUGGCAAGCGUUGUUCGGAAUUAUUGGGCGUAAAGAGCACGUAGGUGGAUUUGUAAGUUAGAUGUGAAAGCCUUCUGUUCAACGGAAGAAUUGCAUCUGAAACUACAAACCUUGAGUGUAGGAGGGGAGAAUGGAACUUCUGGUGGAGCGGUGAAAUGCGUAGAUAUCAGAAGGAACGCCGGCGGCGAAAGCGAUUCUCUGGCCUAUUACUGACACUCAGUGUGCGAAAGCUAGGGGAGCAAACGGGAUUAGAUACCCCGGUAGUCCUAGCCGUAAACGAUGGGCACUAAGUAGAGGGGUUUU